UACGUAGGGUGCAAGCGUUAAUCGGAAUUACUGGGCGUAAAGCGUGCGUAGACGGCUAUCUAAGUCGGGUGUGAAAGCCCCGGGCUCAACCUGGGAAUUGCAUUCGAGACUGAAUAGCUAGGGUACGGUAGAGGGAAGCGGAAUUUCCGGUGUAGCGGUGAAAUGCGUAGAUAUCGGAAGGAACAUCAGUGGCGAAGGCAGGUCUCUGGGCCACUACUGACGCUGAGAAGCGAAAGCAUGGGGAGCGAACAGG
Molecule: ribosomal RNA, 253 nt
Filed under: uncultured bacterium
Lineage: Bacteria
Description: partial 16S ribosomal RNA
Rfam family: Bacterial small subunit ribosomal RNA
Source: RNAcentral